Molecule: transfer RNA, 72 nt
Filed under: Camelus bactrianus (Bactrian camel)
Lineage: Eukaryota; Metazoa; Chordata; Mammalia; Artiodactyla; Camelidae
Also listed under: 1 other name
Rfam family: tRNA
About the family: Transfer RNA (tRNA) molecules are approximately 80 nucleotides in length. Their secondary structure includes four short double-helical elements and three loops (D, anti-codon, and T loops). Further hydrogen bonds mediate the characteristic L-shaped molecular structure. tRNAs have two regions of fundamental functional importance: the anti-codon, which is responsible for specific mRNA codon recognition, and the 3' end, to which the tRNAs corresponding amino acid is attached (by aminoacyl-tRNA synthetases). tRNAs cope with the degeneracy of the genetic code in two manners: having more than one tRNA (with a specific anti-codon) for a particular amino acid; and 'wobble' base-pairing, i.e. permitting non-standard base-pairing at the 3rd anti-codon position.
Source: Rfam by way of RNAcentral
AAGGGUAUAACUCAGUGGUAGAGUAUGUGCUUAGCAUGCUCAAGGUCCUGGGUUCAAUCCCCUGUACCUCCA